Molecule: unclassified non-coding RNA, 310 nt
Filed under: plant metagenome
Description: partial contains 5.8S ribosomal RNA, internal transcribed spacer 2, and large subunit ribosomal RNA
Rfam family: 5.8S ribosomal RNA (bases 1-105)
Source: RNAcentral
GAAAUGCGAUAAGUAGUGUGAAUUGCAGAAUUCAGGGAAUCAUCGAAUCUUUGAACGCACAUUGCGCCCCUUGGUAUUCCAUGGGGCAUGCCUGUUCGAGCGUCAUUUGUACCCUCAAGCUCUGCUUGGUGUUGGGUGUUUGUCCCCGUCUCCGCGCGUGGACUCGCCCCAAAGUGAUUGGCAGCCGGCGUACUGGUCCCGGAGCGCAGCACAUGUCGCGCAAACGAGUGCCUUGGUACGGCGGCGUCCAUAAGCCCCUCUCUCACGCUCUUGACCUCGGAUCAGGUAGGGAUACCCGCUGAACUUAAGC